Long non-coding RNA from Ruditapes philippinarum (Manila clam), 451 nucleotides. RefSeq lists it as uncharacterized. The record is from RefSeq and is a predicted model, not a curated record. The transcript is spliced from 2 exons. NCBI's taxonomy places the organism in Eukaryota, Metazoa, Mollusca, Bivalvia, Venerida, Veneridae.
CCUUUGAGUUACAUUUAUGCAGAAUUGAUACAGGUUAUAUAUUAAACAAUCAAAGUAAGAUGGCAGCAAACUAAAAUUUGUAACUUGAGAGAUCAAGGCUGUUUUUAUUUUAGAUUUACUAAUACUUGUAAUUGAUUUAAAUCUAGAUUUAAUAGUCAAAUUAAUUGAAUUAUUAGAACUAAAUAGUACAAUCAGUAGUUUUAUGCAGCUGAAUAAGACAGGGUCAUCAUAAUCAUUUAACAUUUUAUUGUUGUUUUCAAUGGAGAUUUCUGAUAUUACAUUUUACAUACAUUGCAGGCUAGUGGGACCAGUUCUUACUUUGAGAUGCCAGGUGAAUAAUGAUAUGCAGUAUUGAGCCUGAAAAGGUGAACACAGCCACAUGAAGUUCUCCGAGGAAACAGAAUCAGAGCACUGAAACAGACAUCAAUAAAAGAAAUAGUAGUUUGAAUAA